Molecule: RNA transcript, 876 nt
Organism: Hermetia illucens (black soldier fly)
Lineage: Eukaryota; Metazoa; Arthropoda; Insecta; Diptera; Stratiomyidae
Gene name: histone H2B, gonadal-like
Exons: 3
Source: RefSeq, a predicted model, not a curated record
AGUCGUCCUUGUUCGUUCUGUCUAACUGUUCAAUGAAAAAUCGUUGUCCAAAUUUAACAUUUGUCUGUUCGUUCCUCUUGUCUUUUUGCAAUAUUUACUGUUUUGAUUUGCAUUUAUUAAGUAAGAUACUCCAAUCGGAUGAAUAUUUAUUUAUUUGAACGAAAACUAAGCUUGAAAAUAUUAUAAAAUGAGCCUCCCAGCGAUUCCGUCUCAGUGUCGAGUAUUUAAGGAGUCGCUAAUUGUAGUUAAAGAAGCAAUGGGCGGCGCAUCUAGUCAACAUAUGAAAGAAAAGAGUAUGGGCUAUAAUUUUGGAAAAUAUCUUUCGAAAAAGCGAGGGAUCACACGUCGCCGUCGGAGACAAUUCAUUGCCAACCGAAACUUUCGCAGAUACGUAAGACUUCUAUUGAAAAGGAUACAUCCAGGGCAGAAAUUAUCAAAGAAUGCCAUGAAUGUGAUGAACAAUUUCAUGAAUGAUAUGCUCGAUCGCAUUACGCAAUGUGCCUCACAACUGACGGUUUACGCCAAGCGGAAAACUCUAAGACCUAUCGAUAUUCAAGCUGCGUGUAAAUUGGUACUUCCUCCGAAUCUGAGGUCACAUGCCCAUUUCGAGGGAGCGAAGGCUGUGGUGCAAUUUGAUAACGCUAAAACUAAAGGAAGGUCUCGUUACCAUUAGAGGAAGUUGGAUGAUGUCAAGACUAUAGUCUUUUGGCAGAUUGCUUUAAUUGUAAUCUUGUUUUUGGAGUCUUACCUUGUCUGAUUAUCAUCGUUCCAUUGGAUCGUUUCUUCCACAAAGCAUAGCAGAAAUCAAACCCAGGCUUGCAUUCCACUUGCGCAGGCUGAAAAUAGAGAAAGAUACCUUGAGUGAACCUAGUUCUU